CUUACACAUGCAAGUCGAACGGAAAGGCCCUUCUUUUGUGGGGUGCUCGAGUGGCGAACGGGUGAGUAACACGUGAGUAACCUGCCCUUGACUUUGGGAUAACUUCAGGAAACUGGGGCUAAUACCGGAUAGGAGCUCCUGCUGCAUGGUGGGGGUUGGAAAGUUUCGGCGGUUGGGGAUGGACUCGCGGCUUAUCAGCUUGUUGGUGGGGUAGUGGCUUACCAAGGCUUUGACGGGUAGCCGGCCUGAGAGGGUGACCGGCCACAUUGGGACUGAGAUACGGCCCAGACUCCUACGGGAGGCAGCAGUGGGGAAUAUUGCACAAUGGGCGGAAGCCUGAUGCAGCAACGCCGCGUGCGGGAUGACGGCCUUCGGGUUGUAAACCGCUUUCGCCUGUGACGAAGCGUGAGUGACGGUAAUGGGUAAAGAAGCACCGGCUAACUACGUGCCAGCAGCCGCGGUGAUACGUAGGGUGCGAGCGUUGUCCGGAUUUAUUGGGCGUAAAGGGCUCGUAGGUGGUUGAUCGCGUCGGAAGUGUAAUCUUGGGGCUUAACCCUGAGCGUGCUUUCGAUACGGGUUGACUUGAGGAAGGUAGGGGAGAAUGGAAUUCCUGGUGGAGCGGUGGAAUGCGCAGAUAUCAGGAGGAACACCAGUGGCGAAGGCGGUUCUCUGGGCCUUUCCUGACGCCGAGGAGCGAAAGCGUGGGGAGCGAACAGGCUUAGAUACCCUGGUAGUCCACGCUGUAAACGGUGGGUACUAGGUGUGGGGUCCAUUCCACGGGUUCCGUGCCGUAGCUAACGCUUUAAGUACCCCGCCUGGGGAGUACGGCCGCAAGGCUAAAACUCAAAGGAAUUGACGGGGCCCCGCACAAGCGGCGGAGCAUGCGGAUUAAUUCGAUGCAACGCGUAGAACCUUACCUGGGUUUGACAUGGAUCGGGAGUGCUCAGAGAUGGGUGUGCCUCUUUUGGGGUCGGUUCACAGGUGGUGCAUGGCUGUCGUCAGCUCGUGCCGUGAGAUGUUGGGUUAAGUCCCGCAACGAGCGCAACCCUUGUUCACUGUUGCCAGCACGUUAUGGUGGGGACUCAGUGGAGACCGCCGGGGUCAACUCGGAGGAAGGUGGGGAUGACGUCAAGUCAUCAUGCCCCUUAUGUCCAGGGCUUCACGCAUGCUACAAUGGCUGGUACAGAGAGUGGCGAGCCUGUGAGGGUGAGCGAAUCUCGGAAAGCCGGUCUCAGUUCGGAUUGGGGUCUGCAACUCGACCUCAUGAAGUCGGAGUCGCUAGUAAUCGCAGAUCAGCAACGCUGCGGUGAAUACGUUCCCGGGGCUUGUACACACCGCCCGUCAAGUCAUGAAAGUUGGUAACACCCGAAGCCGGUGGCCUAACCGUUGUGGGGGAGCCGUCGAAGGUGGGACUGGUGAUUAGGACUAAGU
This 1431-nucleotide ribosomal RNA is filed under the name uncultured organism. RNAcentral describes it as "16S ribosomal RNA". It matches the Rfam family "Bacterial small subunit ribosomal RNA". The record is from RNAcentral.